Molecule: ribosomal RNA, 390 nt
Filed under: Praon volucre
Lineage: Eukaryota; Metazoa; Arthropoda; Insecta; Hymenoptera; Braconidae
Description: partial 16S ribosomal RNA
Source: RNAcentral
AAAACAUGUCUUAUUGAUUAUAAUUUUAAGUCUAAUCUGCCCAAUGAUAUUUUAUUUAAUGGCUGCAGUAUUUAUAACUGUACAAAGGUAGCAUAAUAAUUAGUUUUUUAAUUGAAAACUAGAAUGAAAGAUUAAAUGAAAUAUAUUCUAUAUAAAUAAAAUUAAAAAUUAAAAUUAAAAUUUAAGUAAAAAUUCUUAAAUUAUUUUAAAAGACGAGAAGACCCUAUAGAAUUUUAUUUUUUAUUGUUUUAAAAUUUAAUAAUAAAUUUAAAUAAAUAUUAAAAAAUUUGAUUGGGGUAAUUUUAAAAUUAAAUUAAUUUUUAUUUUAAAAACAUAAAUUAAUGAAUUUUUAAUCUUAAAAUUUAGAUUAAAAAAAUAAAUUACCUUAGG